RNAcentral lists this ribosomal RNA (318 nucleotides) under uncultured bacterium. RNAcentral's name for it is "bacterial SSU rRNA". It matches the Rfam family "Bacterial small subunit ribosomal RNA", at positions 29 to 332 of the family's 1533-position model. The record is from RNAcentral.
AGCGAACGUUAGCGGCGGGCCUAACACAUGCAAGUCGAGCGAGAAAGUGGCUUCGGCCAUCAGUAAAGCGGCGGACGGGUGAGUAACACGUAGGUAAUCUUCCCUUCGAGCGGGGGACAACGGUUUCGAAAGGAACGCUAAUACCGCAUAAGUUUCCGAGGACUCUGGUUCUUGGAAGGAAAGCUAGGUCGCAAGAUCCGGCACUCGAGGAGGAGCCUGCGUCGCAUCAGCUAGUUGGUGGGGAAUGGCCUACCAAGGCGAAGACGCGUAGCUGGUCUGAGAGGAUGGAUCAGCCACACUGGGACUGAGACACGGCCC